Molecule: transfer RNA, 74 nt
Filed under: Chthoniobacter flavus Ellin428
Lineage: Bacteria; Pseudomonadati; Verrucomicrobiota; Spartobacteria; Chthoniobacterales; Chthoniobacteraceae
Description: tRNA-Val
Source: RNAcentral
CGCCCGAUAGCUCAAAAGGAGAGCGACCGGCCCACGCCCGGCAGACCGUGGAGCAUUACCACGUCGGGCGACCA